This 567-nucleotide ribosomal RNA is filed under the name Acetobacteraceae bacterium A07_7_27F_1072978_063. Its description in RNAcentral is "bacterial SSU rRNA". It matches the Rfam family "Bacterial small subunit ribosomal RNA", at positions 93 to 692 of the family's 1533-position model. The record is from RNAcentral. Lineage: Bacteria; Pseudomonadati; Pseudomonadota; Alphaproteobacteria; Acetobacterales; Acetobacteraceae.
UAGUGGCGGACGGAUGAAGUAACGCGUAGGAACCUAUCUGGAGGUGGGGGAUAACAUCGGGAAACUGGUGCUAAUACCGCAUGAUGCCUGAGGGCCAAAGGAGAGAUCCGCCAUUGGAGGGGCCUGCGUUCGAUUAGCUAGUUGGUUGGGUAAAGGCUGACCAAGGCGAUGAUCGAUAGCUGGUUUGAGAGGAUGAUCAGCCACACUGGGACUGAGACACGGCCCAGACUCCUACGGGAGGCAGCAGUGGGGAAUAUUGGACAAUGGGGGCAACCCUGAUCCAGCAAUGCCGCGUGUGUGAAGAAGGUCUUCGGAUUGUAAAGCACUUUCACUAGGGAAGAUGAUGACGGUACCUAGAGAAGAAGCCCCGGCUAACUUCGUGCCAGCAGCCGCGGUAAUACGAAGGGGGCUAGCGUUGCUCGGAAUGACUGGGCGUAAAGGGCGCGUAGGCUGUUUGUACAGUCAGAUGUGAAAUCCCCGGGCUUAACCUGGGAACUGCAUUUGAUACGUGCAGACUAGAGUCCGAGAGAGGGUUGUGGAAUUCCCAGUGUAGAGGUGAAAUUCGUA